This 542-nucleotide long non-coding RNA is filed under the name Brachypodium distachyon (stiff brome). Its description in RNAcentral is "long non-coding RNA (BDIS_LNC005105)". The record is from RNAcentral. Lineage: Eukaryota; Viridiplantae; Streptophyta; Magnoliopsida; Poales; Poaceae.
UUUAGGGUAAUCGAGCUCUUGCAUUUGCUCAGUUCAUAAAUCCAUCAUUUCUCUCUUCCACUACAGUUUAAGUCAAUCAGAAGAAGCUGGGCUCUCCUCUUCUUUUUUUGCACUGCAGUAAAGCUAUUCAGGAUUUAAUUUAUGUAUUGGCAUGCUUGAAACAGACCACGUCCUUUCAACCGGUGAGGCAAAAAACAGCAGGUCAAAUUAAGGAGGAAGUAGUAGCAUACCUUUUAUCAUUUCUUCAAUCUUUAGUCUUGCCUUGCUGUCUGAAGCUGGAUGGUAAAGCAGGCUAGACACCAUGAUCUUAAAACCAAUCCCUUCCAAAAGAGGUCACAAAGGCAGUAACAUCACCUGACAUCUGAUCCCUGAAAUUGCGUGCUAAUCGAGUAAGACAACCGAAAGCAGUAAGUAGCAUCUUGCUUAAAAACAUACAUCAAUUAUUCGUACUUUGCAGCAUGCCAACUGAAUUUGUCCUAGGCUGGUCCAUAUGCCAAACAUUUAGUACGCACACGGUGGAAUGCAGCAGAGAAAACAAAAGG